CAUUUUCAUAAUACAAAGUCAGUCCUAAAAGAAGCAUCUGGAGUAGUUUUUGACAUGUUUUCAGGGGCCACUAGUAUUUGUAUUUUUUGCUGUUACUUCCCACCUACUGAGCGUAAGCUAGGUCAUGCACUUGAAUUUCCUGCAUUCUAAAUCAUCUCCUUAGCUACUAAAUAGUGAUAACUGUUAGUCUUGUUCAUUACUGUCUUAGCAGUAUGUUAAAAAUUGAAGUUUUGGUAAUUUCUUUAGAGAUAACUGCAAGGUGAUUAUAUGGAAUUGCUGAAGUAUGUUAGGGAAGCAGUUUGAUGCUUUGUGAAUUCUAAUUUACAGAUCUCACAGCUCUGUAUCUCAAAUUCUAAGUGUACUGGAAAUACGUUUUGCCUCUGCAUUGGAAACUGUAUUUUAAAGACAUCUCCACCCAAAUGCUGAAGACCUGUUAAAGUGUGUUUUACUUCCUGCUGCUGUCAGUGUGACCUUUCCCUCCUUCCUUUUCCUUCCUUUUCCUUUUGGCUAGCUUGUAUUGUUCUACUGAAAGCUUCCUGCAACUCUAGGAAAAAGAAAUAAUAGUUAUGGCAUGUGCUUUAUAGAGGCCAUUUAGUCUAUCUAUGCGCAUGAAUUCUGAUUAUGAGAUGGCUCUGCCAGCAGUAGACUGGAACUGCAUCCAUUCUCUGCAUAUUCUUGUAGCUCUUUUAUCGGAAGGCAUAUGGAAUGGAGACCACCUGUAGUUUUAUAGCUCACCAUAAUUUUCAGCAUACCAGAGUGGAGGUCAUGCUAAGCCUUCUGCUAUACAGCGGAGCUGUGUUGUUUAUCAGUAAAUAAUAGAUGGCUAAUGAAUUCACUGCAUGUUUCUGCAAAGCUGUUCACUAUGUUUUCUGUAAAAUCUUUGUUUCUGUUAGCACCAUGGUGCGGUCUUCCUAAUGACCAUGCCUGUGCUAUCUGGCUUCCAGUAAUGCUUACCAUGUGCCCGUACUGCUCAUAGAUUAAUCAAGGCAGUGUCCUUCCAUUUCAGCGAGAGCAAAAAGUUUAUUAAGAUUAUUAAUGUGAGUGGAAAGUGGAUCUGGAGUUUUUCAUAGGGAAAUUCUUGAAAGCUGCUGCUGUUGCAUACCUCAAAUGACAGCAUUCACGUACAGUUCAAGAUGUUUGGCUUUACAAACAGUUGUACUCUGUUUUCUGGCCCGUUCCUGCUUCUACAAAACUGGACUGUGAGUGACAGCGAUUGCAAGGCUUGACCCUACCCCAGGGUUUACCUAUUUGCACUGCAGUUGUUUUAUAAAGGAAGAAUUUCUCCUUCCUAGUGUUGGAUUCGAGUUCAUUCAUCCUCCUCCCGAUAGCUGCUGAAAUGGCUCUACAGCAUUCCCCAUAUCUUUGUGCAGAAAGGAGAGAAGGAGAAGCUAGUUAACAUUCAGGAUUUUACAUGUGUCUGCCUUUGCAUAAAGUGACAUAGGAGUAUCAUUGGUCAAGGCAAUGGCUUUCAGUGUUUCUGCUUUGAAAGAAAAUGAUGGAAGUGGCAGCUCGGUCUACAGAUCAUCGCUCUCUACCAAACCAGACUGCAUUGUCA
Molecule: long non-coding RNA, 1555 nt
Organism: Oxyura jamaicensis (ruddy duck)
Lineage: Eukaryota; Metazoa; Chordata; Aves; Anseriformes; Anatidae
Exons: 5
Source: RefSeq, a predicted model, not a curated record